Danio rerio (zebrafish) is the source of this 98-nucleotide microRNA precursor. Ensembl annotates it as microRNA 135a. Its record names the gene dre-mir-135a. The record is from Ensembl. NCBI's taxonomy places the organism in Eukaryota, Metazoa, Chordata, Actinopteri, Cypriniformes, Danionidae.
ACAGCUGUCGUGUCUUAUGGCUUUUUAUUCCUAUGUGAAGGUGAACAAGGCUCAUGUAGGGAUACAAGCCACUAAACACGCAGUCAGAAAUCAGCUUU